Alphaproteobacteria bacterium is the source of this 74-nucleotide non-coding RNA. The record is from Rfam. Lineage: Bacteria; Pseudomonadati; Pseudomonadota; Alphaproteobacteria.
UGCGGGGUAGAGCAGCCCGGUAGCUCGCAAGGCUCAUAACCUUGAGGUCGCUGGUUCAAAUCCAGCCCCCGCAA